This 255-nucleotide ribosomal RNA is filed under the name uncultured bacterium. RNAcentral's name for it is "partial 16S ribosomal RNA". It matches the Rfam family "Bacterial small subunit ribosomal RNA", at positions 524 to 776 of the family's 1533-position model. The record is from RNAcentral.
UACGUAGGGUGCGAGCGUUUAAUCGGAAUUACUGGGCGUAAAGCGUGCGCAGGCGGUUGUGUAAGACAGAUGUGAAAUCCCCGGGCUCAACCUGGGAACUGCAUUUGUGACUGCACGGCUGGAGUGCGGCAGAGGGGGAUGGAAUUCCGCGUGUAAGCAGUGAAAUGCGUAGAUAUCGGGAGGAACACCAGUGGCGAAGGCGACUACCUGGCCUGUUCUUGACGCUGAGGCGCGAAAGCUAGGGGAGCAAACGGG